GAUGAAGAACGUAGCGAAAUGCGAUAAGUAGUGUGAAUUGCAGAAUUCAGUGAAUCAUCGAAUCUUUGAACGCACAUUGCGCCCCUUGGUAUUCCAUGGGGCAUGCCUGUUCGAGCGUCAUUUGUACCCUCAAGCUCUGCUUGGUGUUGGGCCACGCCCUCGCGGCCGGCCCCAAAGCCAGUGGCGGCGCCGUCCGGCUCUAAGCGUAGUACAUCUCUCGCUCUAGGGCCCGGCGGCUGCCUGCCAGAACCCCAAACUCUUAUGGUUGACCUCGGAUCAGGUAGGGAUACCCGCUGAACUUAAGCAUAUCAAUAAGCGGAGGA
Molecule: unclassified non-coding RNA, 323 nt
Filed under: soil metagenome
Description: partial contains 5.8S ribosomal RNA, internal transcribed spacer 2, and large subunit ribosomal RNA
Rfam family: 5.8S ribosomal RNA (bases 1-120)
Source: RNAcentral